This is a non-coding RNA of Tribolium castaneum (red flour beetle), 65 nucleotides long. The record is from RefSeq and is marked provisional. NCBI's taxonomy places the organism in Eukaryota, Metazoa, Arthropoda, Insecta, Coleoptera, Tenebrionidae.
UAUAGCCCGGACACUAACGAAAUCGCCAAACCGUCCGAGCUUUUGGUUAGCGUCCGCGCCUACAU